GACGAACGCUGGCGGCGUGCUUAACACAUGCAAGUCGAGCGGUAAGGCCCUUUCGGGGGUACACGAGCGGCGAACGGGUGAGUAACACGUGGGUGACCUGCCCUCAGCUCUGGGAUAAGCCUGGGAAACCGGGUCUAAUACCGGAUAUGACUCCAUGACGCAUGUUGUGGGGUGGAAAGCCUUGUGCGGCUGAGGAUGGGCCCGCGGCCUAUCAGCUUCUUGGUGGGGUGAUGGCCUACCAAGGCGACGACGGGUAGCCGGCCUGAGAGGGCGACCGGCCACACUGGGACUGAGACACGGCCCAGACUCCUACGGGAGGCAGCAGUGGGGAAUCUUGCGCAAUGGGCGAAAGCCUGACGCAGCGACGCCGCGUGAGGGAUGACGGCCU
Molecule: ribosomal RNA, 388 nt
Filed under: uncultured bacterium
Lineage: Bacteria
Description: bacterial SSU rRNA
Rfam family: Bacterial small subunit ribosomal RNA
Source: RNAcentral